Passer domesticus (house sparrow) is the source of this 5629-nucleotide long non-coding RNA. RefSeq lists it as uncharacterized. The record is from RefSeq and is a predicted model, not a curated record. Lineage: Eukaryota; Metazoa; Chordata; Aves; Passeriformes; Passeridae. The transcript has 4 exons.
UUCCUCAUGUGUUCUGCUACCCUCUGUCUGUUGCACAGAAAGAGCAGGGAAACACGUUUUCCUAUUCCACUUGUAUUUCAGUGCGCAGCUUUUGCAUCACUAGAAGCAGCAGCCAGAUAAUUACCUUGUCUGCUGCAUAUCAGGGAAAAACAUUAUGGACUUGGGCAUCACACCCAAGUGGAACUGGAGUCACUUGGUGUCCAUGCCACUGUUGGUUGAAGAAAGGAACUUGUUGAGGUGUAGAUGGGUACAUUGCUAAGCCUGGGGCUGUUACAGAAAGCUCUCAUGCUGUAAGCAAAUUUUGGAUGCAGUAAGUUUUUCAGUCCAGAAUUCAUAGCGUGAUUUGAAAUUGUGUGUGAUAAUAUUUUAAUAGAGAAACUGCAGUCUUCUGACUCUUGUGAUCUGCAGACAGGAGCAUUCUUUUUUGCCUGAUAUUGCUGUAUAAAAAAAAAACAAACCCUCACUGAUGAUUUACAGUGACUGCUUGAUUCAUUAAUUUUUUUUGUUAUGUCUUGCUUACAUUAUUACAUUCUUAAUAUAAUUUUAAUAAAAUUGUCAUUGUGGCUCUCAUGUAACAUUUACUAGAAGGCUUUUUCCCACUGUUGUAUAGAUUUUUUUUAGUGAGAAAUCUGCACUAGCUUUGCAACAAUAUAUUUAGAAAUGCAGUUUUACACAGAGGCAUUUGGGGAUGGAACAUACAAUCAAAUUUUAGCAUCUAAGCAUCUAAUUGGAGUGCUCAGAAAUACAUUUCACUUACCACUUGCACAUUCAGACCUUCUACAUUUUGAGUUUUGCCCAAAACCUGCAACAUAAAAGCCUUCCACAAGAAGAAGAGAACCACAAAUGUAUUAUAGGGUGAAUACACAGGGAGAUGUUCUACAUGGUUUAAAUGAGAAAGCUUCAAAACUUGUGUAGCUGUGUCUUCCAUGAAAGAGUGGAAUUGCUUCUAUUCCAAAGAGCUCUGAUUUUCAUUGGAAGAUUUGUAAUAUUCCAUGAUGCUGUGGGAAACAAAGAUUUUCUUCUUUUGUGUCACUAUACCCAUUAAAUCCUAACCAGAGCAGUGUUCUGGGUAGGAAAUAAACUGUUGCAUUUGGAGUUCCUUUGCACUAAAACAGAUGUUUCUUCUUGGGAGCUUUUUAUUUGUAAGGACAGUGUUCUGAACCUAUUAUUAGGAUCUAGAUCCAGUUGGCAGAUGGUUAUAUGAGGUUUCAUUUUGAAAACAAUAUUGUAGAAGUUAAGUGUCACAUUUCUGGAGUAUGAGUGCACACAUACUUGUAUAUAGACACACACAUGCACGUGCAUACUUUUUGUUUGUACAUAAAACCUGUUGUUUCUCCUGGUUAGCUCUUAAUUGUGCAAAAGUGACCUGGCUAAAGUAGAAAUGAACUGUUCCCUUGUAUUAAUAUAGGAAAUAUUAAUAGAGGAAUAUAUUAAUAUAGAAAAAAAGAGAAAACUUGAUGGAAGUUUUUGUGUGAUACUUUAAUUCAUUAAGAAGGUCUGUUGAGGAUAUCUAGAAGGAACAUACUCCAGCUUCUGAGUUACAAAUAGAAUUCUUGUCAUGAUUUUUUGUUUAAGGGCAGAAUGGAUGAAGAAAAGUGUAGUUUGAAUCCUUAAGUUACCCAAAUGGAAUUUGAAUGCACUGAGUGAGCACUUCUUGUUAAAAGAUGUCAGUAAAAAGGUGAUCUCUUUCAAGAUGAGAGGCAUACUUAAUAUAUUGUGCAUCUUUUUCCAAACCAACCCAAAGAAGCCAAACUCACAUAGAUGGAAGAUAAUCACAACAAUCUGUAAUGAUUUUCAGGAAGAGGUUUUGGGAAUAACAAGCAUGUCUAAAUCUAAAGCCAGCAGUGGUUGUUGAUUUCCAGCAUCAUGUAUAGUAAAGAGUCUAAGGUUUGGCAAGACUACCCCUGAAUUCUUUUAUGGGAGCUGGCUUCUAGAGGAUUCUCCCCUAAAAUGUUCUUCUGUGCGAGUAAAUAAAUGCUUAGCUGUACUCAUAGUAAAUGCCAUACAACAUGGUGUGCUGCCCAGAGACCAGGCACAUGUCUUGUUUAGCACUAAACUUACUCUCUUCUAAUUCUUCUGAUGUUGUAGAUGCACAAUAGCCAGUGAUUGAAUACAGAUUCCUUAGUACUAUUAAUCUUGUAAAUGUAAUUAUGAAAAAUGGAAAAAUAGUGCAAAAUGGUGAGAUCCAUGCCCCAACUUCCUCUGAAGAUGCUAAUUAAAGGGAUGGCAGAAUUAUAAAGGCAAACAAAAUCAGUCCAGGAAAAUAAUGCUGCCAGUAGCUGUUCCUGUGUUAGAAUUCUAGACAGUCUCUGGAGAUCAUAGAGAAAAAAAAAUCUGCUACGAUUGCAAAAAGAACAGUAACUGAAUAAAACCAAGUGAAUGCCACUUGGUUGGAAGUGAAUUUUCUUUCUCAGCUUAUUUUGUACCCAAGUCAAAAUUCUAAAUUUCACCUUUAUGUCUCUGUGUAUGGAAGAGCAUGUCACGUUAAUCUAUUUUGGCAGAUACAUAAAAUUUAUUCACAAUCUUUGUUCAACAUGUAAAAUUUAAUUAGAUCUUGUAAUAUUUGUACUUGUUAUGAAUUCCAUUAUGCAGAACAUUCACUAAACUGUGUACCUAUAGGAUUUAAUUAUGUCAGCUAUUAUUUAAUUGUGGAAUAGGAAAGGAACACAUAAAAAUUUCCUACAUGUUAUCAUGGAGACCAGUGGUGAUGAAGUCGCAAAUUUUACCCCUGCAAAGUCUUUGCAUUAUGUUGGCAUGUAAUGGAGUCUACAAUUCCUGACAAUGUUAAAAAUACUAUUUCCUAAGACCUUACAAUUCCACAGCUGCAGGAGUUUUGUGAAUGAAGGACACCUAAGAGAAGUGAAGGCAUCUAAUGCACUCAUGCGUCCUGCACAUGCUAAGAUUACUUGGUGUAACUAUCCCAGUUGUAACCUGAAUCCCUAUCUGGACAGCAAAUCAUUCACUCCUUUGAUGAGGAAAAAAACCCCAAAACUCUGUGGCUGAAGAUGAAAGAGAGAAGACAAACAUGUAGGCCGGGGAAUAGGAAUAAAUCAAAGUGACCAUGUCUAUCAGAUUCCUCCAUUUUCUUGGAUACCUCUGUGACUGUGACUUCAUGGCAGCUCUCAGACACCAUGACUGGAAGCAGCUCUCUUAGUCAACUCUUCUGGCUUGCCAGGAAAAUCAAUGAACAGUUUCCUCCCAGCAGAGGUGGAUAAGCUGCCUCCAUUGGUUGCCAGUGCAUUCAGGCUUAGCUCGUGAGGCUGUUCCAUGCAUUGAGUUUAGGAGUGGAACCACCGGUGUGAACAGAAAUGUAAAUGCAACUCCUCCAGCAGGUUCAGAAGACACCCCUUGCUAACAGGAUAGAACAGUUGCUGAGUUUCUGCUUUCCUGGCAUCAGCAGCAACUGAGAACAGAGCUUAGCACAUCUUCUGGCCUCCUUCUCUGGGACACAGAAUGAAUGGUGUGAGAGCACAGAGGACAUCCACCAGUGAGCAUCCAGGUGUUUCCAGAGGGAGGUAGUGAGAACCCAACAAUGUGAGAUUGCACACACCCACAAAACCCAGUAUUGAACCUGAGCAUGGUCUCUACAUGAUGGUAAGUAUAUUUUAAUUCUGUUUUAAAAUCUAUCCUUUAUAGAGGCUUCUUAUUUUGAAAAUAUGCCUGGCCUUACAAUUGAAAAGUAGUGCUGGGGUGAUGCAUAAUAGACACACAAAUGUUGAAGUGAGUGUUCAGUAACAGGAUUACAGAAAUAGAGGUAGAGCUGAUAUAGAUGUUAUAAGAAAAGAACACCAACAUUUAUAGAUCUCACCACAGAGUAUGUUAGAAGACCUGAACCCUCUUCAUUUGGAACAUUCAUGCUGUCAAUGGAAAUUAAUAAAACUAACCCAUUAAAAACACAAUUACUAAAUUCACUGAUUAAACCAUAUCAACCAUAAUAUUGUAGUGGGUCUGCCUUAUCAAAUUGUUACAGAUUCCUGCACAGGCGCUAGCUAUUUGAUAUCUUUGAACUUACAGAAAUGGCUGUCAUUGUUUCCUGCUGACUGUAGGCCCUUGCUCUAUGCUCAUGACUUAACUAAAACUUAAGGGCAGAAAUGUCUAAGUGUCACACCCCAACUCAGUAUUUUCCUUUUUCAGCUGUGAGAAGUAGGUGUGUGGAGGAGUUAGGUCACUUGGCCAAAAUCUGAGAGGUCUCAAUAGCAUUACUAGGAAUGGAAAUGAGAUCUUCUGCUUCUACUUUUUAUAGGUUUCCGUGUGGCUGUUUUAGAUGAGCUUGAGUGAUGUCUUCGCUGUCUUUAUAGCAGUGGAAUGUGCUGAGAGAACAGCCAAGGCAACUUUAUCCCACAGCAGCUCUUAGCUUUGGUGCACCUGUGUUAAGCCCAUAUAAAACUGAAAAGAAUAAAACCUAAAUUUUGAGUGCUUGAUCUGAGACAUGUCAGUACUUUGUUGUCUUUAUGAGUCUCAAAGUGUCCCAACUUGUGCACCCGAAGGGAUAACUGAAAAGAGCAGGGGAAAUGGUGCAGAAUGAAGUCCUAUCACCUGCAGCUAGAGCAUUUACAGGCCAAAUUUCAUGACUGCUUUUUCACAUUCAAUGAAUUGUAGCAUUGGUGAAUAGGAUAACAAAAGAUAAUUUCAAGAUGCUAAGCUAGGAAAACUCUAGUGAGGCAUGGACUUGAAAGCAAUGGUAUUUAUCAGCAUUAAAUAUUAAGGUUUAUUAAAACCAAUUUUUUAUGCUAAUCAGAAUUAAGUAGUAGAUCUGCUAUAUUUACUUAUGUGUGACAAGCUGUAGUUGAGCUAAAGACCCUUGAACACUGUACAAAAGAAUAAUUGAUAUUCUUGUUUAAAGAAAAAUAGUCCAAAGCUGAACUAUUUGGGAGUCUAACCCCCGUUUUGAAAAUGAGUUGAAAAGGUUGCCCCCCAGCCUUAUCCCCUGCAGGUUGGGACAGGAGAGGAAAACAGGAAGUUUUAUUCAUCUUAGUUUCUCGGUUUUCCAAGUUAUAGUCUCCAGCUGUUUCCAUCAACUUUGUUUUCUGAAAAAGAAACAAAACAAAACCAAACCAAAAAAAUCCCCACCAAAAAGACAGAGAGAGAGAGAGAGAGACAGAGAGAGAAAAGACUUCUAUGGAUUUCUUUAGCUAUCUUUAAGUGACUCUUUGUUGAAACCUGCAUUGCAUUUUUCAACAAUUCCAGAGUAGUUUUCUUUCUUCUUCUCCCAAAACAAACAUCUCUUACCCAGCUUCUCCUCAGCCUGAAAAAAAAAAAAGAGAUAAAAGCAAAAUAAAAGCAGCAGGCUAGGGAUGAAGGGAGAGGAAUGGUGUCUGCAUUGAAACAUGGCCACACAAAUUCAGAUAUUGAGUCUGUUGCUGUGACAAGUGAAAGUCUACCUGCAGGCACACAGCAAGGGUGCCUUCCACUUUGCCAAAAAUCAGCAACAUUUUAUGUAACAUUUCCAGAUAAAGGCUGAGCAUGCAGGGACUGAUGAACUGGUGUUUUAAGCAGCACUUAUCACAUAAUCUGCAUCCCACUUGCAGGGCAAGUUCUCCCAAGUAUCUCCGAACCCAGAAGUGCAUUGACCUGCAGGGAUUGCAACGUGUAGAACCUGACUGCUGCCAGUCUUUGACCCCUUGUACAU